This 467-nucleotide ribosomal RNA is filed under the name uncultured bacterium. RNAcentral describes it as "partial 16S ribosomal RNA". It matches the Rfam family "Bacterial small subunit ribosomal RNA", at positions 28 to 507 of the family's 1533-position model. The record is from RNAcentral.
GACGAACGCUGGCGGCGUGCUUAACACAUGCAAGUCGAACGGAAAGGCCCUGCUUUUGUGGGGUGCUCGAGUGGCGAACGGGUGAGUAACACGUGAGUAACCUGCCCUUGACUUUGGGAUAACUUCAGGAAACUGGGGCUAAUACCGGAUAGGAGCUCCUGCUGCAUGGUGGGGGUUGGAAAGUUUCGGCGGUUGGGGAUGGACUCGCGGCUUAUCAGCUUGUUGGUGGGGUAGUGGCUUACCAAGGCUUUGACGGGUAGCCGGCCUGAGAGGGUGACCGGCAACAUGGGACUGGGGAUACGGCCCGGACUCCUCCGGGAGGCAGCGGGGGGGAUUAUUGCACAAGGGGCGAAGGCCUGUGGCAGAACCGCCGCGUGCGGAUGACGGCCUUCGGGUUGUAAACCGCUUUCGCCUGUGACGAAGCGUGAGUGACGGUAAUGGGUAAAGAAGCACCAGCUAACUACGUG